GAUGAAGAACGCAGCGAAAUGCGAUAAGUAAUGUGAAUUGCAGAAUUCAGUGAAUCAUCGAAUCUUUGAACGCACCUUGCGCCCUUUGGACUUCUGAAGGGCAUGCCUGUUUGAGUAUCAUGAACACCUCAACUCCUUAUGGUCUUCCAUGAUGAGCUUGGACUUUGGGGGUUUUGCUGGCCUACAGUCAGCUCCUCUAAAAUAAAUCAGCUUACCGGUGUUUGGUGGGUAUCAUGGGUGUGAUAACUAUCUACGCUCGUGGUUUUCCACCAGGUAACCUUCAGCAGUGGAGGUUCACUGGAGCUCAUAGAUGUCUCUCCUCAGCGAGGACAGCCCUUUGAAUGUUUGAUCUCAAAUCAGGUAGGACUACUCGCUGAACUUAAGCAUAUCAAUAAGCGGAGGA
This 403-nucleotide unclassified non-coding RNA is filed under the name soil metagenome. RNAcentral's name for it is "partial contains 5.8S ribosomal RNA, internal transcribed spacer 2, and large subunit ribosomal RNA". The stretch from base 1 to 120 matches the Rfam family "5.8S ribosomal RNA", at positions 35 to 154 of the family's 154-position model. The record is from RNAcentral.